Non-coding RNA from Misgurnus anguillicaudatus (oriental weatherfish), 674 nucleotides. NCBI's taxonomy places the organism in Eukaryota, Metazoa, Chordata, Actinopteri, Cypriniformes, Cobitidae. The record is from RefSeq and is a predicted model, not a curated record.
CACAUUAAAAGGCAUUAUAGAGAUCUGUUAUGUUACAUCUAUAUAUCUUUUGAAUUAAAGUGUGCAGUGAACUGUUUUGCUAUGAAACUCCUGCUGGUGCUAUUCACUUAUUCGCUCCUCCUGUCCUUACACUGAUGAUGGCGUAAACAAAAUGGGUUACGUGACGUCCGGACAUCUACACACAAAUAAGAAGGAAAUAAAAUAUGAAAAUAACUUUCAAAGGAAAUAACCAAAUAAUGUGAUGUGCUGAAGAGCAGAUAUCAUAUAAUCACAUAUGCAGAUACAGACAGAGACACAGCAGAAUCAGGAGAGAAACACAACAACAUCAAAAAAAUGGCACAAAUGCUAUAUUUCAGACUUCUCAUUGCUCUCUGUUCAUUAUCUGAAUGCAUUCCUCACCGCUAUCACUAUAUAAAUAUAAGUAUGAACUGGACUGAAGCUCAGAGUUACUGCAGAAAUCACUACGCCGAUCUGGCCACAGUCGACAACAUGAAUGACAUGAAACAGCUGAUGAGUCAAGUAAAUAACAGUGGGAAUAUUGGCGUCUGGAUUGGACUGAAUAAUACAGGUGCUUUUAAAUGGAAGUGGUCUAUGGGUGAUCCUGUAACCUAUACAAACUGGGAAACAAAGGGUGAGGCUAAUGGUAAUUGUGCAUAUAUGAUAAAUGGAAUAUG